GUAUCAGUACUUGCAUAGGAAAAUCUUCACUUUUAGCCUAAGCAAAACCAUACUUGCCUAGUUCUUAGAGUUCUUCGCCUAGCACGAUAGCCUAUAAAAAGAAAAAAAAGAGAGAUAAGUCGUUUAGGUCAAGUAAAAUGCGUUGAGUUCCUUUGUAUACAAUCAUUUCAUGAUCAUUUAGAUUUGAUCGUUUAAAUUCAGCUACUCAAAUCUGAACAAUUUUUUAAGAUUUGUUGUACUCAAUCGAUCAUGUAGAUAUUUGACUAUUUUUGUUCAGAUUUGGCUAUCCAAUAUAACGAUCUUUAGUAUUUAGAACAACCAAAUAACAAUUUGAACAAAAAAAUUUACAAAUAGAUAUUUUAUAUUUGAUACACGAUCUUGAACCAAAUAACAGUUUGAAAAAAUAAAUAAAAAAUUGCAGAAGAAGACAUUGAAAAGAAAAAAAAUCGAUGAAAAAAAAUGACAAACCUGAAACAUUUUAAAAAAAUGGUCAGCGCCUUUUCAUUUUGUUAUACAUACCGUAAAUAUUUUGCUUUAUAUUUAUAUAAAUUAACCUUUAGAAUUUUUAUUAAGAUUCUUUUUUUUUAACAGACAAUAUUUAAUAAUGUAAUAACAAUUUUGAUCCAUUUUUUAUAGAAAACUUCUAUAAAUAAUUUUAGUUCUCAAACUUUACUAGAAAUUUGAAGAAUAUUUGUAAUGUGAUUAAUUCGAAUUCAAAUCAUUUUAUGAGUUAAAUUUAAAGAAAUUAAAUUAUUAUCAAAUCAACUUUAAAAAAGUUAUUUUAUAUAAAUAUCCACCUAUUUUACUAAUUAAAAUUCAAAUUACAUAUUCUUUUAUUUAAUAUCUAAAAUUUACACAUUUGAAAUUUUAUUUCCUUUCUUUUCAUUUUUUCUCCUAUUUUAUAUUUGAAAUUUUAUUUCCUUUCUUUUCAUUUUUUCUCCUAUUUUAUAUUUCAAGGUUUAAAUAGUAGUUUUGUUUUAUUGUAACUAAUAAGUAUGUAUGUAACAACAUAUUAAAAAAAUUAAAAAUAUCACAAAGUUCAUAAGUAUUUAUAGACUCUUAUGAUCUAUUAGUGAUAGACCUAUAUUUACAACAUGAUCUAUUAGAAUUAGAUUUAUGUUCGUGCUUUUUGGUAGGUUAUGAGUUAUGUACUUACAUUUUAAAAUUGUUAGGUCGAUUUGAAAAUUCAAAUGAUAUUCCAAGGUAAUUCUUGAAAUAUUUCUUUACAUUACAUUUAUUAAAUCGCUAUUGAAUUUAUUAAGAGCUUGAUAAAUAACCACUUAACUUAAAAAUUAGAGAGGAUAAUUGAUAGACCACUAAUAGAUGUUUGAUAAACACUAAUAGAUGUCUAUUGAUGUCUAUCACUAACAGACUGUAAAACUUUGUUGUAUUUGUAAAUAUCUUCAACAAUUAUAUCAUUUAAGAUAAUUUCUCAUAUAAUAUCAGAUUAAUUGAAAGAAAACUCAAAUUAAAUAAGUUGAAUUAAAAAAUUGUAUGAAUGUUUCUAGAACCAUUAAUUAUAAAUUCAAAAUUUUUUAAUGAAAAAUUGGAUUGAUUUGUGGUGACGGCUAAGUUGCGGUGUUCAACCAUUAUUUCCAGUUUCUAAUACUUUCAUCCAUUGCAAAAAUUGAAAACUAAUGUUCACAAUUUCUUGUCUUAUUAAAUGAAGUUUCACAAUUCUUGAAAAUUUUGGAUUAUAAUUAUUUGAAAACAAAAAUAUUUUUUUUGUUUGAUCAUUACGGAAAAUUUUGUUGUUUUACGAGUUAUUCUUUUAAUUAAUGGUUCUUAUUUGUGUUUGUUCGACAAUAUUUUUACCUUAGUUUCCCUUUUGUUGCAGUAAAAUUUGAUUUGUGUUUUAAACUUAUGACAUAUAAUUCAAAUGUUUUUUUAAGCUGUGGAACCAUAAAUAAAUAUGGGAAAUUGACAAAAAUAGGCCAAAAUGGGGUACAUAAAGGCUUGUAGGAUUGAUUGUAAAAAAGUUGACAUUUAGGACAAAUUGGAGGUAAAAUGACGAAAAUACCCUCAUUUAAUUUCCUUCCUCUUUUCUUCUUUUUCCUUUUCUUCAACCCAAAGACAGAGAAGGUUGUUCAAAAGAAAAAAAACGUAAACCUCCCGCAUUUGAACUCUCCUGCCUCUGCAGUUACCCCCUUCAACUCUCUCCCGCCUCCGGUGAACGUUUUUCUCUUCCGUCCAUUUCUUCUCCACGACUCUCCACUAUAUUUUCUGAUUUCAACUUUUUCACCGAACGUCUCCAUUUCUUCUGCACGGGUCUCUGUUUUAGUUUCGACUUCAACUCCGGUGAACGCUUCUCCACUUCUAUCCAUUUCGAUUUCAGCUUUGUUUUCACCGGACCUCUCCAUUUCUUAUCCACUCCUCUACAUUGGCAGUGUCGUAUCCAUCAUCUUUGAAGUCAAGUGAGUAAUAAAAUCUCAGUUUUUUUUUUAAAGUUAGUCUGUUGAAGAUAUGUUUAUCUAUUAUUACAGUAUCCAUCUUGUUUGUUUAAGUUGUCUGUUGAGAUGUGGGUUUUUUGUUUUGGGCACAUUUUAGAUACAUCAUUAAAUUUGUAGAGAACCAUGGGAGCCAUUCUGUUUUUAGGAAGAAAAACCAUUUCCUUUGCAAUGUACUGUAAUAAUAGAUAAUUGGGUUAAGAAUGUAUUAUAUAUGUGCAUGCUACAAAUAUAUGUAUAUAUACAUACCUUGGAGUUUAGAACAUGAAUUCCAACAUAUUUGGUAUCCCAUCUAAACUCUGCAAAGCUACCAGUACAACAAUGUUGAAAGACAUUAUCAUAAGCUGCAUUGUUGUUUUCUACUUUGUUAAUGUUUUUAGUGAUGUAGUUCCAAUAUAAUACAAUCUUUGUUGCCUUGUAUAACCAAGAAGCUCCCCAUAUUAAUUCGUCCUAUUCAAACCAAUUUAUUUAAGAUUCAUAUGUUAGAGAAAAUUUGAAGACAAAUGAUUCAAUUAGUUUUGUUCCUAAACAUACAUGUAGGCUUUCCUCCUACUAUUAAUCAUUUUAGUUAAAGUGUUACAAUAUACGUUUAGCAGUGCAAGCAAUUUGGUUUAGUAAUCUAAUUUGGUUUAUUGGCCUUUACUUGACCAAAACUUGAGUAGAAGUCCCAAGAUGAGAGUGUUACCCUUCCUAAAUCAUUUAGAAUGCAUGUUUAACUAGUUUACUAGGUUUUAAGGGUUUAGGGUUAGCAAUUUUAUUAGACUUAGCAAGUAAUAGUCUUGAAUUUUUCCAUCUCGCACCUAUCAGCACCUAUCUCGCACCUUCCAAAAUUUGAGUAGAAGUCCCAAGAUGAGAGUGUUAACCUUCCUAAACCGUUUAGAAUGCAUGUUUAGCUAGUUUACUGGGUGUUAAGGCUUUAGGGUUAGCAAUUUUAUUAGACUUAGCAACUUUGCCUUGAAUUUUUCCAUCAUCUCGCACCUAUCAGCACCUUUCUCGCACCUUCCAAAAUUUGAGUAGAAGUCCCAAGAUGAGAGUGUUAACCUUCCUAAACCGUUUAGAAUGCAUGUUUAGCUAGUUUACUAGGAGUUAAGGCAUUAGGGUUAGCAAUUUUAUUAGACUUAGCAAGUAAUGCCUUCAAUUUUUCCAUCUUUAUUAGACUUAGCAAGUAAUAGCCUUGAAUGUUUCCAUCAUCUCGCACCUAUCAGCACCUAUCUGACACCUUCCAAAAUUUGAGUAUAAGUCCCAAGAUGAGAGUGUUAACCUUCCUAAACCGUUUAGAAUGCAUGUUUAGCUAGUCUACUAGGUGUUAAGGCUUUAGGGUUAGCAAUUUUUUUAGAUUUAGCAACUUUGCCUUGAAUUUUUCCAUCAUCUCGCAACUAUCAGCACCUAUCUCGCAUCUUCCAAAAUUUUAAGUAGAAGUCCCAAGAUGAGAGUGUUAACCUUCCUAAACCAUUUAGAAUGCAUGUUUAGCUAGUCUACUAGGUGUUAAGGCUUUAGGGUUAGCAAUUUUAUUAGACUUAGCAACUUUGCCUUCAAUUUUUCCAUCAUCUCGCACCUUCCAAAAUUUUGAGUAAAAGUCCCAAGAUGAGAGUGUUAACCUUCCUAAACCGUUUAGAAUGCAUGUUUAGCUAGUCUACUAGGUGUUAAGGCUUUAGGGUUAGCAAUUUUAUUAGACUUAGCAACUUUGCCUUCAAUUUUUCCAUCAUCUCGCACCUAUCAGCACCUAUGUCGCACCUUUCAAAAUUUUGAGUAGAAGUCCCAAGAUGAGAGUGUUAACCUUCCUAAACCGUUUAGAAUGCAUGUUUAGCUAGUCUACUAGGUGUUAAGGCUUUAAGGUUAGCAAUUUUAUUAGACUUAGCAACUUUGCCUUCAAUUUUUCCAUCAUCUCGCACCUAUCAGCACCUAUGUCGCACCUUCCAAAAUUUUGAGUAGAAGUCCCAAGAUGAGAGUGUUAACCUUCCUAAACCGUUUAGAAUUCAUGUUUAGCUAGUCUACUAGGUGUUAAGGCUUUAGGGUUAGCAAUUUUAUUAGACUUAGCAACUUUGCCUUCAAUUUUUCCAUCAUCUCGCACCUAUCAGCACCUAUCUCGCACCUUCCAAAAUUUUAGUAGAAGUCUGAAGAUGCUAGUGCAUCCAUGUUUAGUAAGUUUCUUAUGCAAUUAUAUUGAAUUAGUUUUUUUUUUUUUUAUGCAGAUUUCAGUAUGGCUUCAACAUCAACUAACGGUCUCAUGUACAAGAUUGACCCUGCUCAUCAUUUUCAGUCUAUAGUAAGCAGUUUAUCUCAUUUAGAAAACAAUACGCGUAAAAUAAAGGCUAAAUUGAAACCGGAUCAAUUAACCUUAUUUAGAAAUACAAAGUUCGGCCACUUUUUGGAUCUUAAUAUAGUCUUUAAUGGGCCGCUCAUCCACUACUUAUUGUUAAGGGAGGUGGAAGAUGAAAGGGUUGAUCAUAUCAGUUUCAAGAUAGGGGAAGUUGUGUGCAGUUUUGGUAGGAGAGAGUUUAAUAUGAUGACGGGUCUAUGGAGUUCUCAACCAGAGCCUAUUGAAUUGGUUGGGAAUAGUAGGUUGUUGGAGAAGUUCUUCGAACAAAAAAAAAAGUAUUUAUAUAAGUGACUUAGACACAUUUGUGGAAUACGAGAGGGAUGACGAUGACGAUGACAUAGUUAAAUUAGCUCUAGUGCACUUUAUAGAGCUGUCAUUGUUAGAAAAAGAUAGGCGGACGAAAGUGGACCGAACUUUAUUUAGGAUUGUAGAUGAUUGGACCACAUUUAACAAUUACGAUUGGGGAGGGUUGGUUUUUGGACGUACACUUUCUGCCUUAAAACGAGCCUUGGACAUGCAACAUGCCAAGGGAAAGAAUAAAUCAACUAAGACAAAAUAUACUGUCAUGGGAUUUCCGCAGGCGUUACAGGUAUGUUACUUUACUUUUUAUGCACAUAUUUAUAUAUACAUAUAUCUUGGGACACUUGCGAAACUUGUUUUGUCGAACAUGGAAUAGGUUUGGGCAUAUGAGUCUAUACCAACCAUCACUGAAUGUGGUGUACAUAAAGUAAGCAACGAUGCAAUACCACGAAUGCUGAGGUGGGUGUGCGAACUAUCGUCGAAGUCUCAUGUCCUAUAGAGCCAGGUGUUUGACUCGCCAAUGGUAAGUAUCAACAAACAGUAACUUACCGAAUGCAUGACUUUGUUCCUUUAUGUUUUGACUAACUAACUACAUUUCCACUUUGUAGUUCAUAAUUAACGUGGUAAUUGAGAUGAUGCCUGAAGAGGAGGAGCAUCUAAGAAUGUCUUCAGGGAAACUUGUUGAGAAAUCCCAUCCAUUUAACACCGUUUCUGAGAAGAAUGGUGAUUCAAAACGACCAGGAGAAGCUAGUAAUGAUGACAAUGACUGCAAAAAGAGUAAGAAAAAGAAGAAGUGGAAGUCUAAGAUGAAAGAAGUUGUUCGAAAACUCAAAUAUCGAGUAGCGGUUCUCGAGAAUGAACGUGAAGCCUAAAAUCAAUGCUGUCGACUAUAUUGAAACACCUUGAAGUUCAAAAAAAGGUUAGGAAUCAAAGUUUGUUUAAAAUUUUCAAAGUUUGUGGUACAUUUUCAAAGUGUUCCUUACCAAUACAUUUUGACAUUUCCAAAGGGUGAAGAAGGAGACUGCACGGGAGUUGAAGGUCAUGAUGCCUAGACCGAAGAUGUUGACACACCCGGUACACCUUCUUGGUUGAGGAUGCCAAGGAGGAUGACACAAGUGAUGGGGUGAAACACGUUGAACUUCAAAAAAGGUUAGGAAUCAAAGUUUGUGUAGUGGGUGAAAAUCAUCCUUACUAAUGCUUUAUCCUUAGUAAUGCAUUUUGACCUUCCAUAGGGUGUCGAAGCAAACCGCACGAAGGAUGACAAAAUGGACGAGUUAGAUAAGAAGGUUCAUAUUGAUUUGGAGGAGCCAAUAGACGUCGUUGACGAUUUCAACGAGGAAAUUGGAGUAAAAAGUCUUACUUAUUUUGAUUCAGACGUCAUGGAAAUAGAACCAUUAUCCACUAAACGACCACACCGGCCCUCACGUAGCAAGCGUGCAAGUGUAUACUUGUCAACCCCCUUCACAGCUUUAGUUAAACGGUCUACAAAAUCAACCACCACCACCUCUCAGUCUCAACCAUCCGUCUAUGAUCCUAUGCACAAAAUACCUUACGCCCAUUUAGAUCGACUCAAAGCUUGGAUCACAGACAAGCGUACGAAAGAUGAGGUGCGUGAAACUUUCACGGGAAAAAAUCGAAGGAAUUUUUCAGAGACUUGUUCAUGUGUCGUCGGUGGUUGGCUGAUGAGGUAAGGACUUUUCUUAUUAUUUCUUAUUUACCGUUUUAGAGCACUUAGUAAAACCAUGUUUGUUAACUAAAAAUAGUACCUUCAAGAAGUUGGUUUGAUCGCGUAACCGAAUUAAAUGUUUUAUUUUGUUUCUAUUAGCAUUUGGAUGCACUCUUUCUUCUCAUUCGCUUCAACAUUAAGUCAGCCAUGAUACCUUCUGCUCAAAACUUCACAACUGUAGACACACUCUUCAUGGUUUGCACUCGCAACCAUACUUUAUGUACUGAAUUUGCUUUUGAUAUUUGUCUUAUUGUCUUAUUGUAUUUGAUAUACAUGCAUGUGUGUUUUUUUUCCUUCCAGCGACUAUUAGUUGCGAAGUGACCUGAAUACCAAGAAUGUAUUAAAGAGAAUCGACCAUUUCACUGGAAGGAGGAGUAUCGGUUGGUUGACUAUGUUGUCGGAUCAAAACAAGACUUUCAAGAUCCUUGGGUGAAUGUUGAUUACAUUUACUCUCCAUUCAAUAUCCAUGGCAAUCAUUGGAUUCUAUUAUGCUUGGAUGGUACGUUGUCAAGUUAAGGUAUGAGAUUCACUUCCGUCGCUUACGAUUGCCGAAGAUAUGACACUAGAAGAAAAACUGUCUACUAUGACAGUUAUGGAUAUCAGAAAAUGAGAGAGAGAAAAAAAAACUGUCACAAAAUGUAAAAUUUCGCGUUUUUGGUAGGAAAAGACGGAAUUUUUCAGAUAAUACAUUCUGCGACAGUUAUUUGAUGUCAUAGAAAAAAACAUAAAAUAAUAUUUUUUUAUUAAAAAAUAAUAAAUAAAGAUUAGAAAUUUAGAAAAUAUUUCCCCAAAUCAUAAACCCUUAUUAUUUUCUCCAAUUCUUCCGCGAAAUCUCCAUCUCCAAUCUGAUCAUCUUCCAUCUCCAAUCCGACCAUCUUCCGGCCUCGUCACCAUUCGCCCCUACUCCUGGCCGUCUAUUCACUCUGGCGUGGCCAUCUAUUCGCUCCGAUGUGUCCAUCGUUUUCGUCUUCUCCGGCGCUGCCAUUCGUGCCCGCCGUCACCUUCUCUGCCGGUAAGCUUCUAUUCCUUCUCUCUUUGUCUAGCUCUUUGUGAAUAUUGUGUAUUUCCCUUUCAUAAACAUUCCAACAAUCCAAUGUCUUUAUACAUGAGUUUCAACUACCCCUCUUCUUCUUACCCAAGUCAGAAGAAGAAAAGUGAAGGAGGGGCAAGUUUUUUUUUUUUUUUUCAUGGUGGAAGUUUGAAUUUUGAAAGUGUGUGUUCAAAUGUCGCUUCAUUAUCCUAAGUACACGAAGAGGGAUUAUGAGAAAAUGGAGUAAGGUAAGUUGAAUUUGCUUCUAAAACAAUAUGGACUCUGUUUUGAUGGUACCCUUAAGGGAAAAGAGCAUUUGCUAUUGGGAUGUUCUUAUGGCCUUAACAACUUUGAAUUUACCCACCAUGUGUUUGAUGAAAUUCCUAAAAAAAAAAACUAUUAAAUUUUUAUGAACUCCAACUCUGCCCUUGGUCUUGAUUGUCACAUCUUAUGUUUCUAUGAAUGUUUCUUAGUGUGCGAGAAUGGUUUUUCAGGAUUCAAUAUUUAACAAAAACGUCUACAUGCUAGCAAGGUUUGAUUUUCUCCAUUUUUCUUUGAAUUGGUGCUUACCUAGUGAUUUUAAGAUAUGAUUUGGAGUAGUUGUGUAAAUGACUGAUAAUUUGUGGGGAUUUUCACUUAAUACAUUUAGGAUUUUCGUUAGGUUUUAUCUUGUUGUACUGUGGACGGAGGAAGAACAUAAGUUUUCCUUGUUGGGAUUACAACAAGAUUUCUUGAUUGAUAGGAUUUUGGAAUCAUGCAGAAAAGUUGAAGUAUUCUCUUAUUUAUUUCUUGAAAUCUUCUAAAAAAGAACAUCAUCAAUCAAUUCUAUCUUGAAACUUAAACAAGAUUUUUUUUUGUGAGAUUAUGAGAAAAUAUGAUAUUAGUUUGUGCUUGUAAGGUGUUUGACGAUAUGUGUCUGAAGCUUUAAAAGUUUUUUUCUUUUUCUUUUGCAUUGUGCGAGUGUGUUUUAUGAUCUGAUUGUUACACACACUGAAACCUAUUUUUAACUUAAUAUAUUAGACUUGUUGUAAUGAAGUUUAGUUUGGCAAUUGGCAAUUCACCAUUUAGAAAAUUGUUUGAUUUGUUUUUAUUGUGCUAGUUGCUGUCAUUUUGCAGUUUGCACAAGUAUUUGUAGCCAAGUCAUGUCAAUUCAUCUAUAUGGUGCAUAAUGGUUUUUUAGUGUACACUUUUCACCCCUCUUUCCUCCUUUUGGAUAGAAGUUGCUCAAAAUGUUCAAUCUCGUGAAUUAAUUGUUUCCCUGUUUUCAUAGGCAGGAAGCGUGGAUGUUCAAUUAUAUAUACGUUUGUUUAUGAGCUAUUUUUGAUACCCUGAAAUCAUUUGAUUCAUAGACCUAAUAUCUUUUAUGCUAUGAGUUGGUCUAAAUGUAUAUUUUGUUGUCUCCAUUAGACUGAGGAUCCACUAUCUUUUCAUUGUAGAUAAUAUAUGGGUCCUCGAAAAUGUUCUGCUCAGUUUUCCUGAUAAUUUAUGUUCCAGACUUAUGAUGGAAUGAUUAUUGGAGAACAUUCUAGGGAAUCAGAUCUAGAUGUAAGUUGAGAACUUUAUGUUUAGACUUUGGAUCGAAGUUGUAAUUUCUACUUGAUUUACAUGGUAAGCAAUUUUCUUUUUUCUAGGUUAAUCUUGUAAGAACUAAAGAAAACUUACCAAUAUCUGUUCUGCUUGCAAAGAUGAAAACUGAAGCUAUCUCCACCUCGACUUGUAUGUUAUUUCUACAUUGAGUUCCAAUUGUAUAUAUUUUAGUGUUAUUGUGAAUCCAGUAUCCAAGAUGUAGAAUUCAGUUCUAGAACGUCAGGACACGAGUAGGCUGAAAAGCUUUAUUAUCUUUUCCCAAGUAUGAUUACUCACACUAACAUCUAAUUCUAAACUUAAAUGCUGAGAUGAGUCUUGAAGAAGCGAUAGGAUACGUUGCAUCUGAUGAACUUAUUAAGGUAGUUUAUGAUUUAUUCAUUCAAAUUGUCUUUCCCAAGGUCAAUAUAGCCCCUUUAUGUUCACUAAAGAUGUUGCAAUAAUUCACGAUAUUGCAUUUGGGUAAAUUUAUGCUUUAUUAAGGUAGUUUAUGCUUUAUUCAUUCAGCAAUGGAGUUGGUGCCAUGUUUAUGCAAUCCAAAGGGACUUGAUUUACAUGAUGUCUAAGGAAUUAGCCUUUUAGUUGAAAAAUGUAGUCUCAUAUUUUCCGGACUAUACUUAAGUCCUCUUCUCCUAAGUUAUUGUCUGCUUUGUCAGACAUCUUUCUAAAGUCUACAAAAGAUGAUGGUUAUUUGCAGCAUGCCUCUAUUGGUUGAAAAAUGAAAACUUGUGCUUUUGUGAUAGGUUGACUUUGUUAUUAGUUAGGUUACUUCAGUUGUUGGUUCAUAAGCAUAUUGUGGUAGUUACUGCUAGUUGUCUUGUGUAUGUUUGCACUUCAUCCAUUUCUUUUAAUGACUUUUGCUUCUUCUAUGUCUUGGAGUUCUUUUGUUUCGUAUGGGCUAGGGUAUUUUGUAUAUUCUAUAUAUUCCAAUACUAGUUCUAUUUGAACUAUUUGCAGCCCACAAUUGGUGAAAUUUCUUCAAUAUCAGAUAAAAGUAUGUUGUCAAAUCUCUUGGGGAAGACAAUAAAGUUAGAAACGGAGGAUUAGGAGACACACCCAUAGAGUUUAUUAGAACUCUUGCCUAAAAAUUAGAAUUCUUCAUUCCAAGCAUCCUUCUAAUUAUAAUUUUAAAACUAAACUAAAUUUUCAAAUGAAACAGGGAGAUGGAUCUCAUGCUAGUUCCUUAUUCCUCAGAUCCCAACCUAAAAAUAAUCCAAAUGCCUCCCUUUUUACUAGCCAGCAAGGUCAAUAUAGCCCCUUUAUGUUUUCUUUUAAUUUUUAGGCAUACUUAUAGCAACUGUUAACAAUUUUUCUACUGCUACAUAUUCCAAUAGCAUUGGAUAUGGCUGUUGAAUUUCGAUCCGAAGAUUCUGACCUGUGGAAGCACAUUUAUGCAGAUGAGUACAUGAAAUGUGAAGUGAUAGAGUGCUGUGAAUCUUUAAAAAAUGUACUAAAUGUUCUGGCAGUUGGAGAAAAUGAGAAAAGGUUCCAAGCUACAUUCCUACUUAUUGAACUAAACAUCAUCAAAUAAUCAUAGUUCUUUCGUUUUUGUCAGUUGCAGUUUUUUUUUUUUUUUUUUGUCGACUUUGACACUUGAACAAGUUUUUUUUUAUGAGGAUAUAUUAAGAAUCUUGCUUUUAAGGCUUCCUCUUUUCUCUCUCGCUUUAUUUAAAUGAUAGUAAAUGGUUCAAAUUAGUUUAUUACAACAAUGAUUUGUAUGUAGUUUCAUUUAUAAUGUCAAUAUAUAUAUCAAAAUUCUUGAUUAAUUGAUUGCAGUUCAAAGAAAGUGUUAAACAAUUUGCUCAAGAUAACAUUGCUCCCCAUGCCACAAAAAUUGAUCAACCCAACUCUUUUCCAAAUUUCAGUUGGAAGUCCUUCUCUAUAUGUUUAAUGAGUUGCUAUAUGAUUUGAUUAAAAUGUAUUGUAUUGUAGGAUGUUAACUUAUGGAAGCUCAUUCGGGACUUCGAUCUCCAUGGAAUUAGAACAUCAGGUACAUGUUAAUGGCCCACUCUUAGUUAAUGUCGUUCAUAUUAUAGGAUUAAGAGUAAUAGAUACCUUUCUUUUUUAUCAUGGAUAGUAUGCUUGUACUGGUUGGCUAUUGCUACUUGUGUAAAUUGGCAUGAGUGUUAUGUCUGUACUUAUUGCUAUUGCUAAAUUGCUGCUUGUGUAAAUUGUCAUGGAUUUUAUGUCGUACUCAUUGGUAGAGCUUUUUUUGGAUAAGAAACUAGGAGACCUUUAAUUUCUGUUAAGCCAUAAAUGAUACAAGUUGUUCUAGUUUCAUUUUCCUAGUACCUUAAUAUUUCUUGGCUUCGUUAACUGAAGUGGAUUACACAUGAAAACUGUCUUAUUUCUGAUAUUUGUAGAUUUGAAAGUGUUUGACUCCUUAAGAUGGAAACUUUUCGGUUCUUGUCGGAUAACGUUUCUUCUAACCUUAUUGACAGUGAACUACUAAUGGAUUCUUAAGUUUCAUUCAUCUCGAUUAUUACUUAUGAUUACUUAUUCAAUAAUUUCCUUGUAGAUUACUUAUUUAUAUCCAGGUAAAUUUUCUAAAGAGCAAUGAUACAAGAGUUGUAAUUUGUGAAAAGUUUCAAUAUUGUAGACCAAGUGGAUGUUACGGUGAUGCUGUUAUUAUACAUUUGUGCUCUGCUAUGUAGUUGUUUCUCUUAUUGACGCAUGUAGUGAUAGGUAAUGCUCAAUGUUGAAAGUUUCUAUAAGAGUUGUACUCUCUUGUCCUAUGAUGGAUGCUUAUAUUCAUGUUGUCUUUGUAGGUUCAACUGAAGUCGACAACUUCAUAAGUUUACUUUCAAAGAACAUUUUCAGAGAUGAACAUUCUCGGUUGGUCGUUUAUGCUUCUGCAGAAAAUCUUGUUAGAUGUAUUCUAAUGCUAUUUAAAAUAUUUUUUGAUUAAGGGUUGAGAUUUCGUACUUGUAAAUUGUUGACACUUGAUUGGAAAUGUACGAAUAUUAUAAAUUGUAUUAUAUCGUAUAUAUAUUAAAGUGUUGGCUACUUUUUUCUAUAUGGGUGUCAAUAUUAUAAAUUCAAAAUUGUCAUUCUCAGCUACAUUAUUGUCAUUCAAAUGGUUUGUGUAAUGGUGGAGCGGCAAGGAGAACAGGAAAAAACUGUAGUAAAUUGAGAAAUUUGCAACAGAAAAUAAAUGACGUAAUAAAUGAAUUUGUGACAGUUAUUAAUUGUUGUCAAUCUGAAAAUGAUGAUAGUUGUUUAAUAAAAUAAAUUGUCACAAUUGCCCUAUAUGUGACAGGAAAAAAAUGUCGUCAAUAGCAAAACAAUGACAUUUUUAUACAAAAAAACUGUCGUGAUUAACAUAUUCAUGACAAUUAAAAAAUGUCACAAUAAAUGAAUUUGCGACAUUUAUUUAACCGUCGUUAAUACACAAAUGAUGAUAGUUAUUUGUUGUCAUAAAAUAAAAUAUGACAGUUAUUUGACGUCAUUGAAUUCUGAUUAACGACAUUUAUUUCAUGUCAUAAAAUAACUUAUUGCGACAGUUUUUAAAAACUAUCAUCGAAUGACUUUCCAUGACUCCCGCUUCUAUGACUGAAAAAUAACUGUCGUGAAUUUCGUUUGCGACAGUAAAUAACUGUCGUCGUAGACCACUUUUCUACUAGUGUGAGAAGCAUAUUAGUGCCAAUUCGAGAGAUGGUGCCAAAUUUGCUCGAUACUACUGGAUUCUUUGUUAGGAGAGGUGGAUCAUCAACACAUAAGGAACCUUGGCCACUUGUCAUUGUCGACUCCAUUCCAUUUCAACGCAACAAUAGUGAUUGUGGUGUAUUUACAAUUAAGUAUUUCGAAUAUGAAGCUUCUGGUUUAGAUGUAGCUACAUUAUGUCAAGAAAACAUGUCAUAUUUUAGAAAACAAUUGGCAUUUCAAUUAUGGACCAACAAUCUCAUGUAUUGACUUUUAGUUCCAACUUUUGAAGGAAUUGUAUAUGUUCCAAACUAUGUACAUAAAUAGUUUUAUAUAAUGGAAUGAAUACCAUUUUUAUUUUAUGGUAUGAAAUUUUUAUUUCAUUCUCUUGGAAAAUUGUAAAGUGUGCAGAACUUUUAUAUAAUGUACAACAAUGCAGGUGAGAGCAACAUUCUCAUGCUCUUAGAAUUAGGAAGGCCAAUUUAUCCCACACUGUAUGAAAAUUUCACCUCUUUGAAUGCUAAUUGUUUUUGGCAGGUGUCUUAUAAACAUUUUUGGAUUUCUGAUGUAUGAAUAUAGGCAUUCUUGAUGUGUUACCGGUGGUGGAGCAGAACUUUGUGGUGGCUGCGGAACUGCAGAAGUAAUGGGUUCAGGUUCUGCAUCAAAAUCAAUUAAACUUCCAGAAGGUUGCUGAUAUCUCUGUGCAAAAUCAAUUAAACUUCCAAAAUCAAUUAAACGACCUGUUAGGGAUAUUUUGGGAGAGAAUGUAUCUCCACUUCGUGUUAUUGAACCACCAAAAAGUAGUGGUACGACCAAGGUUGCUGAUAGCUCUGUGCAUUAACAUUUCAUCCUUCUGAGAAUUGGUAUCUGUCCAUUUAUUUGAGCCUUUCAUUUAAAAUUGAUCACGUUUGGUAUGUUCUUGUUAUCUCAGCAAGAGCCUCCUCUAUAUAACGGUGGUAAAGUAUUGGACUUGGUCGUUGCAUACAUUAACAGGUUAUGAUAUGAUAAAAUGUGGGGGAUGUAAGUUUACCAUGAUACAAGAGUGCUCUAGAGAAUUAUAUGCUUGGUAUUCAAUGGCCAUGGAAAUAGUUUUAGUUAGCUCCUCGUGAAAAAUGGAUUUGUAUAUAGCCUCACGUAGAAGGUUUUCAUUAUAAAAACCUCUUAUGUAGGAACAAUUGAUCCUCAUUACCAAUAGCAUCAUUUUGAUCUAUGUCUUGUUCUGUACCUUUGUUGUUAACCAGCCAGCUUUAUACAUUACUUAUCAUUAGCUCAGUCUUGCUACUAGCUGAACUUUCAUAGUCAACUCAUCGACAUUAACUGUCACUCUGAUCCUUUGAGUGUUAUUAAUUAUUGUUUUUUCCAUUGAGAUUACUAUGCUUGAAGAGGUGGUUCAUAUGCUUGAAGAGGCUGAACCUUGUAACUUUAUUGACAUAGUUGUCAAGAAAGAAUGUGAAAACUAAAAGUAAUCAGCAAGAUUUGAAUUAUUACUACUGCAGUAGCAAAAGGAGAGCAGUUAUUGAGUUCUAAAGCACACAAUAUUAUUUACUUCUCACGGAUGGUUCAAACAUUAUUCUUUACAGCUUUGGAGUUGUUCUAAUGGAAGUACCAACAGAAAAGAAGCCCAUUUUCUAAGACACCUGCCAGGAAAACAACAGGAAAGCAGAAUGAGAAAUCUAAAAGGUAAUUUGAAAGAGAUGGUAGAUCCCAUCAUAUCAUAGGCUCAGGUGGAGAAUGCAGUCAAAGUGGUAAGGAUCGCACUUCGCUGCAUGACUAAGAUUCCAUCUACAAGGCCCUCCAUGCAAAUGGUGGUUCAUAUGCUUGAAAAGGCUGAACCUUGUAACUUUAUUGACAUUGUUGUCAAGAAUGAAUGUAAAAACUAUAAAAGUAAUAAGCAAGAUUUGCAUCAUUACUACUGCAGUAGCAAACGGAGAGCAUUUAUUGAGUUUAGUGUUAGGUCAUAAUAGGAUUUCAAGUCUUUCUCAAAAAGCUUGAAAUGCCAAAAGAGAGCAUUUCUGUUAAAAACGACCACCUGCUUUAGCUAUGAAGUUCUACCUUAUUCAAACUUUACAGAAAGAUGAGAUUAAAGUGAAAAAUAUUCCUUAAACUCAAGAGCACGGCUGUACAGAAACUUGUGACACAGUUGUACAAUUUAUAGAACAGAUUCAGAUCAAAUAAGGGCAUAGAACAAAAUAUACACUUAGAAAUUCAUAUUCUGCACAAGUUUGCAGUCAACAGAAAUUUAUAGAACAGAUGCCAAAGGAGAGCAUUUCUGUUAAAAACCAAAUACCAUAUAAAAUGGUUGUUACACACACAAACAUUGUAAAAAAAAAAUACAAUGAGUAAAUAGUCUAUAAACAGUUCACAAUAGGAUAAAUAAAAAGAGAAGGAAAGUCUUGAAGUUGCAGAAGAAAAUUCUUCAACUUAGAAUUGUCAGUGAGAUGACUUUAGUGAUCCUGCGAACAACACAGGACACAAUUUUAUAAGCAUCUUCCACCUGCAUUAAAACAAUGAACCUUUUUUACAUCGUGAUCAUGCAAACAACUCAAGCACAAACCAAGCAAGUAUAAAACUAUUACUACGUACCAAGACGGGUACUAAUCUUGUAUGCUCGACUUCUGAAUGUAUGAAAUUGGAUUGGUACACGUUAAUCUAUUGUGGCCUGUUUCUUUACAUCGACCACAUUUAUGCAAUUUUGGUGCUUCACCGACACUUGGAAUCCUAUUUUUCUUCGGUCGACCAACUCUUUUCACUACUUUCGGAGGUAAGACAGUCAUAUGUACAUAUUCUUCAGUUGUCUUCCAUUCCGACUGAUUCCCAACUAGGUAGACGACCUCCGAAUAUGCUGCCAACAAACAUUCAUUAGUGUAAUAGUUAGCACAUAAGCUAUAAACAUUUAUAUUGCGAUCUCGUGCUACAGCAAUGGCAUGUGCGCAUGGUAGUUGCUCAGCUUGAAACUCCUUACAAGUGCACUCUUGAGUAUGAAGAUUUACGACCUCCUCUUUAUCUAAAUCCUUAACAUGGAAUUGGUAACAAUCAAUUGGGUUGACUUUCAUUGUCAAAGCUCGUUCUUGUUUCUUUUGUAGAACUAACUCUGCCCAUUCAGUCAAUGUAGACGUCACUUUAAUGCCUUCUUCUCGAUGCUCCCAAAACCAACGUUGUAGCAAAGCUCGAACAUGUUCAAGGAAUGAAGCAAUAGGCAAAUCUCUAGGUUCUUUCAGUAUAGAAUUCAUGGACUCUGCUAUAUUUGUUGUCAUCAUAUUAUAUCGUCUUCCUGGACAGUGAAACACGAGACCAACGUGUUAUUCCAACAUCGUUUAAAUAUUUUCCUGAAUCAUUAGGAAAUGCAAGAAUACUUCUCCACGCUUCUGAGAACGUUGAUUCACGAUAUGUUCUAGAUGCAUUGUAAAACAAAGUAGCUAUAGUGUCAUUCUUGUAUUUAUCAUUCAAAUUUUGAGUCAAGUGUUAGACACAAAGUCCAUGGAAUGCGGAGGGAAAAACCAAUGCAAUACACUUAGAAAAACAUGUUUUUUGAUCUGUCACGAAGCCUAGAUUAGGCACCUCUCCUGUUGCACCUUUCAAUUUCUCUAAGAACCACUGUAUUGAAGCAUCUGUUUCUCUGUCCACCACUCCAAAGGCAAGAGGAUAAAUUUGAUUGUUACCAUCCAAGCAAAUAACAACUAUCAACUGACCCCGAUAUUUGUUCUUAAGGAAUGUUCCAUCCAUGACUAUAACCGGUCUAAUGCAGUUUAAGAAUCCUCGAACACAUGGACCAACAACCAUAAAAAGAUAUUUGAAGAAACGAUCAUCUUCAAGUUCCAUGUGAAAUAUUGUACCUACAUUUGCAAGUUUGAGAGCUUCACCAUAUCUAAGCAAUAGAUUAUAUGACUCUUCAGGACACCCGCGCACUCGUUCAUAUGCAUUUUCUCUAGCGCGCCAUGCUUUUUCAUAACUCAUAUUUAUGUCAUAGUCUUGCCUCAUGUCUUCUAUGAUAUCAUGUGGUUUGUAUAGACGACCGACUCCCUUGAACUUUGACUUUAUUAAUUCUCCAACAACCCAAGAUUUUGCGUGCCUAUGGUCACGAUUCAAAACGUCAAGAGAACACGAAUGAACUUUGACAUACUUUUUAAUCUUAAAUAUAUUUGACUCCUUCAAUCCCAUCGCUCGCAGUCUCCAACCACACUUGUUGUCAAUGCAUCUAACAAAGAGAACCUCUUUUGUAGACUUUUUUACUACAAACUGAAAUUUUUUUUUCAUCGCCAAGACACUUAAUCUCAUUGACAAAUCUUUUUUGGAAAAAAAUAUUUGUCCUACAUCAAACUCCUCACUUGUAGAGCUUUCUUCGGACCAAUCAUUCCUGUCUGUCUUCAACUUUUGGCUAGAAGAGCUGUAACGAACUUUAGAUUUUCCUUUGCAAUCUUUUGUAGGACCAUCUUUAUGUUGUUGGGAUGUCAAAUGAUUCACUAUUCAUCUCUACUGGCUCCCAUGUAAAAGUCUCAUCUUUCGAAUCAUAUGACUCAUAUGAUUCCCAUAUAGCCGAAGUGGUCCCUAUCACGUUAUCACACAAGCCAACUUCAACUUCACGAACAUGAACUUCAUUCUCAUUUAAUGUAUCCAUUACAAUUGGAGGAUGAGGGUUUAAGUUAUGAGCUUGGUUGCUGCCAGAUACUGAAUUGUAAUCUUUGCUUAACACUUUUUUGCUUUGAUUACUUUUAGGCUCAAAUGAGACGUAUAAAGGGACCUCUAAUGGAUUUUCACUAAGAAGAUAAAACUUCAAAUCACGGCCAUUGCUUAACUCAAAUGGAGGAGCUUCGUGUUCCACUUUUAUCUCAUAUGUGCAUCUUAUCAUUACGUCGAACUUUGAAGGGUCAACUUCUGCAAGGUCAUAUAAUUCUGCCUGUAAAUCUUUAUGUGUUAUUUCUUUACUGACAACGAUGCCUUUUAACAUGCCUCCUUCGUAUUUUCUUCGCCUCUCAUCCCACGUACCACCGUAACGCACUAACAUGGGAACAUGUGACAUCCUUAAACCACCUUAUACUUUUCAAUUGCUGCAAAAAAUGAUUUGAAGUUAGAAUUUGACAUAUCACAUAAACAAAGUUUAUUAAAAAACAGUAGGUAAAUACUAAAUAAAAUGUGCAUAGUCACACCCUACAUGUUUACGAUAUUGACAGCUACAAAAUGUUUAGGAUAUUGCGAGAUACAAAAAACAACAGUUAAAAGUCACCCUAAAUCAAUUCAUUUCAGAUUAAACAUUUCAAUUUAAGAACCUGCGAGAUGUCUGCGAGAUGUUUGCGAGAUGUUUGCGAGAUUUCUACCAGAUGUUUGCGAGAUAAAAUAAUAAUAAUAAUAAAUUGCUAACAUCCUUUGAAACAUCUCUAAAACAACCUUAAAUUAACCAUAAAUCAACUUGAAACAAUAAAAAAUAAUAUUUGAUUUAUACAUUUAAGAUGCAAAUAUAUAUACAUAUAACACAACACAAUUCAAAUUCGGAUUUAAAAAAAAUUAAAACAAACCACAAUGUGUGAGAUGUUUGUCGGAGUAGAUGAUGAACGACACCGGAGUAAAGCCGAAAGUUGACAAACUUUUGAGAGAGGAGAAGAAUUGCAAAUGGGUUUUUCUUUUUUCUUUUUCCUUUACAUAAUCUAUGAGAAGGAGAAAUGCAACAAAUGAGUUUUUCUUUUUUCUUUACAUAAUCUAUGAGACUGCAACAGAAGGAUUUUUUUUUUCCCUUUACGUAAUCUAUGAGGAGAGGAGAAGAAGGCUGCCUUCGAAAUUCUGUUUUUUUCCUUCAGGUGAAUGACAUUGAAGAGAGAAAGAGAGGUUGGAAAAGAAGAGAAGAGCAAAUGUGAAUUGAAAUUAAAUGAGGGUAUUUUCGUCAUUUCACCUCCAAUUUGUCCUAUAUGUCAACUUUUUUACAAUCAAUCCUAAAAGUCUUUAUCUACCCCAUUUUUGGCCUAUUUUUGUCAAUUCUCCAAUAAAUAUAAAUUUGAGAAACAAAAGCUAAUAAUCAACACUUCAGAAACCCUAUCUUACAAGAUACCCAUCUCGCCAAUCCACAGUCAUUAUUUUCUCCUAGCUCUAAUAGUGCCAGAAUCAAGGGCGAAAGAGCCCCUCGAAAACUCAAGUUGUCUUUCAAAGAAAAAGCUCUAUCGUCAGAUCCUAACUCUGUGGUUCUCGAUUUCAAACACUCGUCGGCUAAGUUGAAUAGCCCGUUUCCACCCUAGGUUUUGGUUCAUUUUUGUCUUAAUUUUGGGGUUUUGGUUUUAGUUUUUUCUUGAUUAUUUAUUAGAAUGCUUGUUGAUAUGAGUGCAUGUUUUAUUGCUAAAGUAAAUGUUAGAAACAACAUGGCUUUCAGAAAUUUUAGAUAGUGCAUACAAGUUUUAGAUAGAUAAAGAAAAAUGUUUUUACAUACACGAGUUUACAUGUCCACUUAGGAGGUUCCUUGAAGAGAGUUUUGUUUUCCUAUCUUAUUGAGAAAACGAUUUUCGUACAGGAAUCUUAUUAAUAUUCUUGCCGAGAUUUCUCAAACCGGAAAACAAAGGCACAUCCCGUACAGACUCUAAGCUCACUUUUUUUUUAUUGCAAGAAUCUCUCGAGGGAAAUGCAAAAUUAGCGAUGGUUUGUGCCAUUUCUCCAUCACAAGGUUAAUAUAACAUUGGGCUCCACUUACCUCGAAGAUUGUUUUUUUCUUGAAAUGAAAAUUUAUUUCGAUUGUUUCUGCAGCGGCAAGAAUGAAAGCUUUAGCACCUUUGUGGUUUGCCCACCAUGCCCAAAGCUAUAAAGAACAAAAUUGUUGUUAUUGAAGUUACGCAACAUGACGUGAAUCACUUGCAUGAAGUGAUACGACAGCUCAUGGUACACUUUUUGUUUUUAUUAUUUAGCAAUUUUUCAUAUAAUGUUUGCACUUUUUGAGUUGUGAUUUGUGAAUAUGACUAAAUUAAGAAGGCCCUCAUUCAUAUUUUCAUAUAAACAUGUAGAGAAGGCUAAUGUGCCAAUUAACAAAAUUGAUGUUGGCGUGCAAACAUUUUGCAAUGACGAGGCUGCUGUGAAAACCAUAAUAUGUGCACUAGUUGCAAAAUUAGAAAUUAGAUGGAGGUUAGAGAGGAGGAUGGCAUAUCAAAUCUUCAAUUAAUACCUGCGGAUGGUACACUACAGCCUCUGCUGAGAAAUAAAGGAUACAAGUUCCUAAAGUAUACAAGUUGAAAUUCUAUGUUUUUCCAGCUGCUUAGUGUACAUGUUGCUAAUAAUUUUUGUUCUUCUGCAAGCAGUUGAGAAAGUUCUUGCUGGGGCUAUUAGAAGAGAAAUGGCACUUGAAGGUACUGCAAUAAGUAAGCAUUUUGACAACCAAUAAGAGAUGAAGAGAUUUUAGCUACAAAAUUUUUAGUUGUUAUUAUACAUUAGGUAUUAAUAGAAUUAAGCUCGUUUUAAUAUCAUCAAUUUUGGCUUGAUAAGUUAUAUUGAUUUUUCAUAAACUUUUAAUUUAUCAUAUUGCACCUUAAACUCAAAUAAAUAUUAUUGUUAUUUACAGUCUAAGGUAUGUUUCAUUUUCCCAAGUCAAUCGAUUUAUAAGCGUCGGUAGAGUUUUUUAAGAGUCAAUUUUGUGCAUUAAUCCAUUUUAAUUGAUCUAAAAUUUGAUUUUUGUUCAACAUAUUGAGUUUUUUUUUUUAAUUAAUCAUUUAUUUAUUAAAAGUAUUGGAUGCAUUAAUUUGAAGGAUUUUUUUUUUUAAAUAUAACAAAACCAUAUUUUUCAUUUGUGCUAGAUUACAAAAGACUUAGAUACACAUAUACUAAUUUAGCCAUAGAUGCUAAUAGAUGUUUGUAAACGUUUAUUGAUCUAUUGCAAAGUUUCUUUUCUUAUCUCAAGUCAUGUUAUAAUAAUUAAUAAUGAUAACUGUAAUAGUGAGUUUUUAAGACAUUAUAAUUAAAUUGUAAGUUUUGGGAAACGCUUUCUAUAUAUAUAUAUAUACAUUAUCGAAAUAGGGUUUUAAUGAAUUUUUAAUAUGUACUUAAAAAAUUUAUAGACAUACUAAACACAAGAUUAAAAGGUUAAGGACCUAUUAAACACUUUUAAAAUUCAAAGAUUUAUAGUUUUACCGACAAGAAGAAAAAUCAUGAGGUCACCAAGAGGUAUAUGUUCGACUAAAAAUUUUGUGUAUUGAAUCUAUUCAGCCGGAUAUUGAGUUAAAAGAAAAUAAAAUGGAAAUAAGUUGAGUAAGAAGAUGCACGUGAAUGCAUAAUUUGAGAGUUUGUGGUCUACAAUUAGAUUUUUUCCUUGUUAUUGCUUAGUAGCGAGUCAUGAUCAAGUCACAUUAUAAUACAAUACCUUUUUUUUCUUUUUCUUUUUUUUUUUGUGGUUGAUUGUAUGGAUAAAUUUCACCCAGUCAAACGCAGUAAACAUUAAACUUUAAGUCAAUAUCCAAACAUACAUCGUAACUGUCAUCCCUACUCAGUUCACAUAUAAUAUUACGGUCCAUACAGUCAAUACAUCUUAAUUAGUCAAUACAUCUUAAUUUUUGUUAUUGAGUCCAGUAGAAAAUCCCUUACCUCACUUUUAUGCAAGUUCUUCAAUCUAACUAAAUCCAAUAAAUCAAAUCCUACUAAUAAUCAAACAUAAAAUCAACAUCUUUCUAAAUAGUUUCAACCAUUCAAAUUACCCCAUAUGUAAAUUCCACAACUUACCCAAGAAGUGGAAAAUCAAUUCCACCUCAACUUUUUGGAAAAUCAAGGAUUCGCUCACUGAAUCAAGAUAUACCUUCAAGAAUUAAGCAUUUCGCCAACAAUUAAAUCCAAUGGUAGCAUUCAACAAAAGCCAAGAAAACAACAAAACCCAUAACUUGUUCUUACCGAAAUAUGAGCCCAAUGGUUCACGGCAAGGCAAAAAUGACAAUCAAGAAACGAAUCAAACGGCUGUAAAUAGAGCAACACUGAAUGCGACUCAACCGGAAAAGAAAAUCGACUUCAAAUCGUAACUCCGUCUUACAACGAGCAGAAGAACGUCGACUUGAUAGGGGACACGCAAUUUAGGAAGAGAUCGGCUUGGAUCCGUGUAUGACUUCACGAGAUGUAUGCGUCGACGGCUUCACGGAUGUGAAGACAGACGCGGUCGGAGUGUAGAGGGUUUAGGCGGUCGGCGUCCGCUAAGGGAGGCGAAACGCGCCAACGGCUGGGGAAGGGAGUAGAAGCGCGCGAUCUGGGACGUGGUGACGCUGGUGGUUGUUGGGCUGCGAACGGAAGGAGAAGAGAGGGAGGCGUGCGGCGUGCGGGGUACAGGAAGGAGAAGAAGAAAAUACGCGCGGGAGGAAGAAGAAGAAAAAUUUUCUUUUCUUUUCUUUUAUUUAAUUUAAUAAUAAAAAUUAUAAAAUAAAUAAAUAUAUAUAGUUAUAUUAUUACAUUUUCAAAUCUUCUUUCUCCCCCUUCAACAUAUUUUUUUUUAAAAAUAAGUCUUGAACGAAUCGAAAAAUUUCUUAAAAUAAAAUACGUUCGAGUUUGGGGCGUUACAUUUCAGAGAAAAAACGUCAAGAAUUUUUAUGAAAAGACGGAGAUGGUCAAAUCUUUAACUUUCUUGACGUUUUUUAAACGUCAAGUAAUAUUUAUUUUUUCUUGACGUUUUAAAAAUGUCAAGUAAUAUCUAUUAAAUUCUUAACGUUUUUAAAACGUCAAGAUUUUUAUGAAAAGACAUAAUAGAGGUAAGUUUUUUAAUUUCUUGACAUCUUUUAAACGUCAAGUGAGAUGUUUUUCUUGACGUUUUAAAAACGUCAAAGUUCUAUAAAAUAAUAAUAAUAAUAAAAUAUAUAAUUUUUUUAUAACCCCCAAUUUCUCUUCCUCUUCCACGAUAAAAAUAAACACAAAAUCCCUAACCCUCUCUUUAAACGACGACAAAUCCCAAGUUCUCAACCCACUCCUACGGCAACCAACGACAACUGAUGACAACCAGCGGCAACCCACUACCUCUCCCCUUCUAUUUCAUCCUACUCGUUCAGAAUCUCAGUCUCAAACUUCUUGAAAGAGAAAGAGCUGCGACUGCUGUGCUGGACGAACUGCCUAAAGGGCGAAGACCUUAAUGUUCAACCUUUUGAUUUUGAUGAAAGGUACGUAGUGGAAGGCUCCGUGGAAGACUCCGCACGGUUUCGAUCUCGAAGAAAAAGGUACAUAGUAUUCUUUUCUCUUUGUCGAUUAUCUUUGAUUAAAUUGUUCUAUCUUGUUCCCUUCCAUUUGGGGGUUUUCAGUUUAUAUUACGCUAAUGUUUGGGUUGGAAUGUCGUCGUUAGAUUUCCUUAUGGUUAGACACUGGAAGUAAUUUGUUUUGAUUAUCGUGUGAAUGUUCUAGUUGUUUUACCCAUUUAAACACAUCAAAUGAAGGAAAUGUAUUUAAACCGACGAUGCAAAUCUUGAAGUUGAUGUUCUCUCCAAUGAAAUCAGCUGGUUUAUUAAUGUAAAUACUGUAAAUUAGGCUAAUUACAUUACAUUAGGCUAAUUAUAUGACAUUCCUUAAUUAUGUUGGAUUAGCUAUUUAUACAUCAUUUGAUAUUAUUGUAAAAGACAGAUUUUUCAUCAAUAGAAAAUACCUUUCACAUGGUAUCAGAGCCAACCCUAGAUCUACUUUAAUCACUGCCGUCGCCGCCGCCGCCGCCGCCGCCUCCCGAGAACCGCCGCGUCUGCGUUAACUCCAAGAAGCACUGCUAGCCGAAAAGUAGAUCUCCGUCCCGUGCUAGCGUUUUUCUUCCACUGCUAGCCGAAAAGUUCAGCAGCAACAAUCGCUCCGUCACAACCUAGGUGUCGCGCCACUCCGUCCAGUCGCAGCCUCGGCGUCGCGGCGUUCAAAUCGUCGCGUCGUCCUCUCCGAUCUGAAGCACCAGUCGUUGCCGAGUUGCAACAAUCUCUGCCGUUCCGAGCCGCACGCAACUCCUCUGUCUUCCCAAGCCGCACGCGACUCCUCUGUCUUCCCAAGCCGCACGCGACUCCUCUUCCAGUCGUGAAUCCAAGACGCCACGGCCCACCAGAUCCGACGAACCUUCUAGCCGACUGUCCUCAUUCGUUUGUCUCCGCUCACAGCCGUAACCCCUCUGUCCGUAAGCCGUGACCCUCUGUCCAUUGUUGCAACCCAGCCGCGAAGACAAAUCCUGACCGCCGCGAAGACAAAUCCUGACCGUCGCGAAUCCAGUCGUGUCCUCGCCGUCGCAACUCAGCCGCGACCUAGACAAGAAGACGCUCACCUAUCACGACUCCCAGCCUUACAAACCAAUCAACAAUCCCAAUUGCAAAAUCCAGAAUCUGACGAAUCCAAUCACGAAUCAAUAGAAAAUUUUAGACAAAUUCAGCCGGAAAUUCUCAUUGUUAACAGCGAAUCCAAAUGGAGAGGGACCAUAUUUUUAGACCCAUAGGUACAAUUCUUGAUGGUACAAAUUAUAUCACAUGGGCAAAUCAAAUGAAAAGUUUUCUUAUUGGAAGAAAACUAUGGCGCAUUGUAACUGGCGACAUAACCAAACCAACUGCACAAGACAAGGACAAGGAAGGGGAUAAUAAAUUCAUUGAACGCCUCGAAGAUUGGGACAGUAAAAAUCAUCAAAUUAUCACCUGGCUUGGUAACACCUCUAUUCCCGCUAUACAUGCACAGUUUGAUGCCUUUGAUGAUGCUAAAAACUUAUGGGAUUUUUUGUCUACACGCUUCAAGUCUAUUGGUUUAGCUCAUUAUUAUCAACUGCACAAUACACUUGUAAAUCUCAAUCAAGAUAUUGGUCAGUAUGUCAAUGAAUAUUUGGCAGUUCUUCAACCCAUUUGGACUCAGCUUGACCAAGCGAGCAUCAGCAAAGAACAUCUUCGCCUUAUUAAAGUUCUUAUGGGAUUACGCCCAGAAUAUGAAUCUGUUAGAGCUGCUUUACUACACCGGAAUCCCUUACCCUCUUUAGAUGCAGCUAUUCAAGAAAUUUUGUUUGAAGAAAAGCGUUUUGGCAUCAAUUCUACUAAACAAUCUGAUGUUGUCCUUGCCAGCACAUACACUCCCAACAGAGCCUCAAAUAUGUUUUGUAAGAAUUGUAAGCUCUCUGGUCACAAAUUUAUUAACUGUCCUAAAAUAGAGUGCAGGUACUGCCAUAAACAUGGCCACAUUCUGGAUAACUGCCCUACCAGACCACCCCGACCUCCUGGCACUUCCACAAAAGAGAAAAUUUUUACCAAACAUGGUUCCUCAUCUGUUGUUGCUGCGACCUCGGAUGAUUCAUCCCUCAUUCAGAUAAGUGAUCUUCAGAGCUUAUUGAAUCAACUAAUUUCAUCAUCCUCUGCCCUUGCUGUUUCAUCAGGUAAUCGAUGGCUUCUUGAUUCUGCCUGUUGUAAUCAUAUGACCUCUGACUCUUCUCUUAUGUCUACUUCUAGCCCUACAAAAUCUUUACCUCCUAUUUAUGCUG
RNAcentral lists this long non-coding RNA (25446 nucleotides) under Cucumis sativus (cucumber). RNAcentral describes it as "long non-coding RNA (CSAT_LNC002351)". Lineage: Eukaryota; Viridiplantae; Streptophyta; Magnoliopsida; Cucurbitales; Cucurbitaceae. The record is from RNAcentral.